Long non-coding RNA from Pygoscelis adeliae (Adelie penguin), 1177 nucleotides. RefSeq lists it as uncharacterized. The record is from RefSeq and is a predicted model, not a curated record. The transcript has 2 exons. NCBI's taxonomy places the organism in Eukaryota, Metazoa, Chordata, Aves, Sphenisciformes, Spheniscidae.
UGGCCACCUUCCAUGCGAUGGAACAACGUAGCUGAGUUGUGGGCUGACUUUGGCUUGCUUCACCACCCUGAACCAGACUGCAUCUGCGGUCAUCUGGAACAGACUACAGGCCUGAACUGAUAAAGGAUGCUGUGGAAACGUGGAUCUCUGGGGCCUUGGCAAGAUGCUUUUGCUGUAUCCUGUCUCUUUAUUGCCUGGUCCUCUGGAAGACAAAAGAGUGAGAAUCAGCGGUGUGUGGUUAUCCUGCAAACAGUUUGAGAACUGCUUUGACAGCCAGUGAUGUGGCCACAGCAAGCGCAUGCUCUAACAAUUUACAAUUGCGCUAUGAUCCCAAUGAGGAGUGAUGCUUGAACCUCCCUCCGAUUACCUGUGUCCUUUUCUUUUGCUGUAACAAUGUUGUUUCUUUCCAACACACAAGUGUUCAUGCAGAAAUGCCAAGAUUCUCCAUGCAGAUUAAAGUAGGUUUGCAAAUUAAGGAAAGGCUGGAAUGGAACAAAAGGAAAAUGAAAUUAUCCCAGCAGUUUUGCACUUCCUUGUAAUCAAAGUCCUGUCUUUGGCAGGUGUUACGUUACACAUGAAUUUUCCUUGUGUAAAGACUGCAGGAGCUAGCCCUAGCAAAUCACACUGUUCUAAAAAUGGUGGCCAGUAAGCAAUAGGUGGGCUCUCUUGGGGAAAAAACAGGAAGAAAACUUGGUGAGAGCUUGAUCCUCUGCGGUGUCACCUUUCACAAUUGAGUGACUGACAGACAAAAGAGAAGUGAGCUAAAUCACCGGGAGGAUGGAUGCCUUCUGUUGUGGAAUAGAACGAAAUCCAGUGACAUGCUCCCUCCCAUUAGAUCUGAUACGACUGCUGUAUGAUAAAGAUUAAUUUCUAGAAAUCAACCGUAAACCUAUAGGUCAGCCAAUAAGACAGUGACUUGACAGAUUUUUAAUUGCAAAGUGUAUGAUAGUUUCAUGUCUCUAAUCUGCAUCACUGCAGACAGUGUAUUGUUGAAUCCAAUGAAGUCUGAAUCCCACUAUGAAUUUAAUUGUUUUCCACAAGCAGAUUAUGAACAGAAACCGUUGAUUGCUAUUAAUUAUGUAUCUUUGAGUGAAAAGCUAUUGUGUGUGUAUAUAUAUAUUUAAUAACAGGAGAUGUAAAAAACAUUUAUUUUUAUUUAAUAAAACAGAUAAACCUA